CCUACGGGUGGCUGCAGUGGGGAAUAUUGGGCAAUGGGCGCAAGCCUGACCCAGCAACGCCGCGUGAAGGAAGAAGGCUUUCGGGUUGUAAACUUCUUUUCUGGGGGACGAAGAAAGUGACGGUACCUCCGGAAUAAGCCACGGCUAACUACGUGCCAGCAGCCGCGGUAAUACGUAGGUGGCAAGCGUUAUACGGAUUUGUUGGGAGUAAAGGGCGUGUAGGCGGGAAAGCAAGUCAGAUGUGAAAACUCAGGGCUCAACCCUGAGCCUGCAUUUGAAACUGUUUGUCUUGAGUGCUGGAGAGGCAAUCGGAAUUCCGGGUGUAGCGGUGAAAUGCGUAGAGAUACGGAGGAACACCAGUGGCGAAGGCGGAUUGCUGGACAGUAACUGACGCUGAGGCGCGAAAGCGUGGGGAGCAAACAGGAUUAGAUACCCCUGUAGUC
This 443-nucleotide ribosomal RNA is filed under the name uncultured bacterium. RNAcentral describes it as "partial 16S ribosomal RNA". It matches the Rfam family "Bacterial small subunit ribosomal RNA", at positions 338 to 795 of the family's 1533-position model. The record is from RNAcentral.